RNAcentral lists this ribosomal RNA (253 nucleotides) under uncultured bacterium. RNAcentral describes it as "partial 16S ribosomal RNA". It matches the Rfam family "Bacterial small subunit ribosomal RNA", at positions 524 to 776 of the family's 1533-position model. The record is from RNAcentral.
UACGAACUGCGCAAACGUUAUUCGGAAUCACUGGGCUUACAGGGUGCGUAGGCGGCCUGGCAGGUCAGAUGUGAAAUCCCACAGCUCAACUGUGGAACUGCAUUUGAAACCUUCAGGCUUGAGUGAACUAGAGGCAUACGGAACUUCAGGUGGAGCGGUGAAAUGUGUUGAGAUCUGAAGGAACACCAGAGGCGAAAGCGGUAUGCUGGAGUUUGUCUGACGCUGAGGCACGAAAGCCAGGGGAGCGAACGGG